This 466-nucleotide ribosomal RNA is filed under the name uncultured bacterium. RNAcentral describes it as "bacterial SSU rRNA". It matches the Rfam family "Bacterial small subunit ribosomal RNA", at positions 338 to 795 of the family's 1533-position model. The record is from RNAcentral.
CCUACGGGAUGCAGCAGUGGGGAAUAUUGCACAAUGGGCGCAAGCCUGAUGCAGCCAUGCCGCGUGUAUGAAGAAGGCCUUCGGGUUGUAAAGUACUUUCAGCAGGGGAGGAAGGUGUUGUGGUUAAUAACCACAGCAAUUGACGUUACCCGCAGAAGAAGCACCGGCUAACUCCGUGCCAGCAGCCGCGGUAAUACGGAGGGUGCAAGCGUUAAUCGGAAUUACUGGGCGUAAAGCGCACGCAGGCGGUCUGUCAAGUCGGAUGUGAAAUCCCCGGGCUCAACCUGAGAACUGCAUUCGAAACUGGCAGGCUAGAGUCUUGUAGAGGGGGGUAGAAUUCCAGGUGUAGCGGUGAAAUGCGUAGAGAUCUGGAGGAAUACCGGUGGCGAAGGCGGCCCCCUGGACAAAGACUGACGCUCAGGUGCGAAAGCGUGGGGAGCAAACAGGAUUAGAUACCCGGGUAGUC